UCCUGCUCAGGGAAUCGCUGGCGGCGCGUCCAANCCAUGGAGGAUAAGGGGGCUCGCAAGAGCAACCGGCGAACGGGUGCGUAUCUGCUGAACAACCUGCCAUACAAUGUGGGGGAUAGCCGGGCUAACGCCCGGGUAAUACCGCAUACGUUCUCUUGGAGGAGUCUCCGGGAGAGGAAAGCUCCGGCGCACGGGGAGGGGUUCGCGGCCUAUCAGCUGGUUGGCGGGGUAAUGGCCCACCAAGGCGACGACGGGUAGCUGGUCUGAGAGGAUGGCCAGCCACAUUGGGACUGAGAGACGGCCCAGACUCCUACGGGAGGCAGCAGUGGG
This 330-nucleotide ribosomal RNA is filed under the name uncultured Gemmatimonas sp. RNAcentral's name for it is "bacterial SSU rRNA". It matches the Rfam family "Bacterial small subunit ribosomal RNA", at positions 18 to 358 of the family's 1533-position model. The record is from RNAcentral. Lineage: Bacteria; Pseudomonadati; Gemmatimonadota; Gemmatimonadia; Gemmatimonadales; Gemmatimonadaceae.